RNAcentral lists this long non-coding RNA (681 nucleotides) under Homo sapiens (human). RNAcentral's name for it is "HSALNT0158699". The record is from RNAcentral. Lineage: Eukaryota; Metazoa; Chordata; Mammalia; Primates; Hominidae.
GUUUUGAAAUGCAAAUGAACGAGCUUAAGCACAUAUUACACGUAGAAAUGGUGGAAAUUCGCUUUCCUGGGUCUUGGAAUAGUUCCUCCUUGCUUUGGAGAAUGAAGUUCAAUAUAUGAAUUAUCCAUAGAGACCAGUAGGCCUAUUGCAAAUCCCUGCGGUGGAGUGCUAGGAGCCAGAGGUGCUGAAUUCUCCUGCAGUUCUAUAAAUGAACUAAGCCACACUUACUGACUCUGUUACUGAAAACCAGUUGCCUAAACAUUUUGUGUCUGUUUCAUUAUUUGUAAAGUGAGAAAUGUACUUACUGAACAGGGUCAUCACAGGAGACAAAGAUGAUUGUGAAAGAGCCUUGUAAAGGGUACAUCUGAACCCCAAAUUAUCAAUAAGUGCUCAUUGGCUGUGCCUCACAAGAGCUCAGAGAUCACUGAGUCUAGUUCAAUGCACUUAAAUUACGACAUGGAAAUGGAGGCACCAAGAGGUGAGUAUCCUAUCCAGAGUCACACAGCUCUACAGAGAUAUGGAAGCAAUAUCAUAAAAUUCAAUCAUGUCAUAUUUCAUUUCCAUGAAAAUAAACUAAAAAAAAACUUGGAAGAUGAGAACUUUGGAUAAUUUGAGUCUGAAGUACUUCAUACUACUUUAAGUUACCUCCUAUUGGGGGCAUUAUAAAUGGGUAAGCAGAGA